RNAcentral lists this ribosomal RNA (405 nucleotides) under Azadinium dexteroporum. RNAcentral describes it as "partial small subunit ribosomal RNA". It matches the Rfam family "Eukaryotic small subunit ribosomal RNA", at positions 30 to 432 of the family's 1831-position model. Lineage: Eukaryota; Dinophyceae; Gonyaulacales; Amphidomataceae. The record is from RNAcentral.
GCUUGUCUCAAAGAUUAAGCCAUGCAUGUCUCAGUAUAAGUUCCUGUACGGCGAAACUGCGAAUGGCUCAUUAAAACAGUUACAGUUUAUUUGAUGGUCGUUCCUUACAUGGAUAACUGUGGUAAUUCUAGAGCUAAUACAUGCACCCGUGCCCGACUUUGUGGAAGGGUUGUGUUUAUUAGUUACAGAACCAGCCCAGGCUCUGCCUGGUCUUGUGGUGAUUCAUAAUAACUUUGCGAAUCGCAUAGCUUUAAUGCUGGCGAUGGGUCAUUCAAAUUUCUGCCCUAUCAACUUUCGACGGUAGGAUAGAGGCCUACUGUGGUGAUAACGGGUAACGAAGAAUAAGGGUUCGAUUUCGGAGAGGGAGCCUGAGAAACGGCUACCACAUCCAAGGAAGGCAGCAGG